RNAcentral lists this long non-coding RNA (1612 nucleotides) under Brassica rapa (field mustard). RNAcentral describes it as "long non-coding RNA (BRAP_LNC005071)". Lineage: Eukaryota; Viridiplantae; Streptophyta; Magnoliopsida; Brassicales; Brassicaceae. The record is from RNAcentral.
GAUAGUCCACAAUUAUUUUAUUUUAUUGUUAUUAAGAGUAUGACUUUUUGGAUAAUGUAAUUUUGUGGUCGUUUUUAUUUGUUAAGAACAUUAUUUAGUGUUUUUAGUGUGUUAUAUAGUAGUAGGUGAUAGGUUAACAUAUUUUGUGUUUUUUUUUCCAGUAAUGUGUUGUUGUUUGUAUAGUACUUGUUAGUAGUAAAUUGAGCAUAUAAUGUAAAAGCAUAUUGAACUUCAGUAACUUCCAUUUAGGCUUUGUCGAUUUUAAGAUUAAUGGUUUCAGCGUAAAAAUUGUAUUUUAUUUUUUUCAUAUUUUUGAACAUUAUAACUUUUAAGAUGUUUUUUUUCUCUCCCCAUAUUUUGACCUUGAGCCGUCACCUCUCUGUUUUUCGUAUAUCUUUCUAGUGUGCGGUGCUUCUCACCAUCACCGAAAAAGACUCACCUCAUGUUCUUAUUCUUCUUCACCUUCUUCGUCGGUGAGAUUAUACGAAAUUUGUUGUAGAUCGAAUUUAUGAGUUCCCAGUUGUGUGGUUGUUUCACAACGUUGUAGGUUUUUCCGAUCAAUAUUGGUUGCUCCUCUUCUUCCUUAGAUUUCGGUUGAUGUUAGAACUGCAUCUCCUUGGGUUGGGUCAGAUUUUAGUCGUUUUUGAUGUUGUCUUCCUCGUCGUUGGCUUACCGUCAAUAGUCCUUGUUUGUUUUGGAUUUCAAGAUCUAGUUUUUGGGGAUAUAACUUAUAUGCUCUUUUUCAUAGCUCGAGGACAGCUCCACAGUUUGCUGAUUUUGUUUUGUCUCCCAAUCCCUCUAUGUUUUCUCAUCUCGUUGAAGUUUUCAUCACUGCUCGCAUCUUUUGUAGGUUUCCCUUUCACCAUGCUUACCACUCUAGGUUUGGAUAAUGUUUUCAUUCGUGUGUAUGCUAUGUGAGCUUUGAAGGUUAUUUAUGCUCUCAAGCUUAUUCUCUGAUGUCACGGUGGUUGGUUUCUAUUAUCCCUCCCUCAGGUUGUUUCUCUUCAUCCCAUGUUUCUUUUGGUAUAGGUGUGUGGAGUUAGUCUUUUGGAGCUUUGGUCCCUUCUAUCAGAGCUUUGUGUUUCUUCACUUGCAUGUGCGCCUUGUCUGUUCUUAUUUAGUUUGUGAGGUGUUUCUUACCUUUUUGCUAGUAGUUGUGCUUCUGGUACUUUAGACAUAUAUCUUUCCGCUUCUUGGUGACGUUGGCCUUCCGAUUAUUACUCCCUCUCUGAUCCGCUUUUUUGGUUCUUUACGUUGGUGCUUGAUCACGCUUAUAUUUGUUCGGGAGAUUGCUUUGUUUCAGAUUUUAUCUUUUUAUCUUUUUUUAAUUUUUACUUGUUCUGGCCAAGACACUUCAAUGAGGUAAGUUAGUCUUCGUGUUUGAUCUCCUUUCAGCUUUAGACCUCUAUUGAAUUAGUGUUACUAUGAAAUUUUGUUUUCCGAGUGAUAAUGGAGGUUUUAUAUUUAAAUUUUGUGUUGUAUUCUAGUUUCUUAUUUUUAGUUUGGUUAUUUUAUAACUUUAAUAGUAAAAUAAAUAUAUAAUUUAUAAAAGAAAUAAUAGAAAAUAGUAAAAAUAAUAAAAUGAUGAAAGUUUAUGCUAUUUUUAGUUAGG